CAUCUUUUAGACUUUAUGUCGACUAUACGUGAAAUCCAGACUAUAUGAUCAUGUUUUGUGAUUAACGGCUCGAGAUUGAUCAUCACUUUUAAUUGGAAUUUGGAUGCACGUGCCAUCUUCCACCGCAUAGUAGAAAAAUCCCUACAAUGCUGGUGAUAGCAUCUGUAGAGGCUCUUGGCAUAGAGGUGGUGGACAAUAAGGCUCUCUAGCUAGUUGCCGUUUGUUCAGGUUCUUGUUGCUAUAUGAUGGGUGAUGAUUAGACGUAAUAAUUUGUGUUUUGAAUUUUUAUUUUUGAG
RNAcentral lists this long non-coding RNA (296 nucleotides) under Carica papaya (papaya). RNAcentral's name for it is "long non-coding RNA (CPAP_LNC008617)". Lineage: Eukaryota; Viridiplantae; Streptophyta; Magnoliopsida; Brassicales; Caricaceae. The record is from RNAcentral.